AGCACCUCAUUUCCCAUUGUUUCUCUUAAGUUGAUCGGUUACAGGGAGACACCAUGGUUACAUGACUUUUCCACCCAGGAGCCACCCUUCUUGGGUCACUAUUAAGACCAGUUUUUGCCCUCCUCCAUCACCCCUCCAAACUAUCCUCAACCUUUUAUAAAUAACACCAUGUAUUUACCUCUAAAUUGCACAACACCUCUACUCAUUCAACACUCAAAACUCAUUCAGAAUCUGUGCUUAUCACUAUUUUGAAGCAGCAAGAACAGCCUGGUACUCAUUACAAUUCAUCACUCAACACCACCACAAUGCUCACGGGUCCUCAGCCAGUUAGGGUCAUCUUUUGUUGAUCACCAUUACGGUUUCGGGUUCUAUUCUUAAUAUCACAUUUAACUCUCUACGCGUUUUCGGUCGCCAUAUUCCAGGAGCUCUUUUCGUCUCAGAAUCACUCCUACAUUCUCUCCACCCCCGUUGCUGACACAUCUAACUCGGAUUACUUCUUUUGCCCUCAUUGUUAAGGUAACUAGUGUUAUGGAAUUUCAUGGAGCGGAGUAGGAGUCUCAAGUAUUCAAGAGUCAUGUACUAGAUAAUAAAUAAGAACUCUUAUGUAUUUCUUAGCUACUUUACUGUAAGGUUAUGUCUUGAAACGUUGGUAUUAAUGAAU
Molecule: long non-coding RNA, 661 nt
Organism: Erigeron canadensis
Lineage: Eukaryota; Viridiplantae; Streptophyta; Magnoliopsida; Asterales; Asteraceae
Exons: 4
Source: RefSeq, a predicted model, not a curated record